GGAGAAAUGACGAGAAAAAGUGCAUGUUUUACGAUUCCGAUUUGACCGAAUUUAAUCAAAAAUUAAACUGUUAGGACCAACAUUGUUUGAUAGAAAUAUGUUUGAAUAUAAAGGAUUGAUUUGCAAAAGUAAGAAAACGGAUCAGGUUUAUGAGAAAAUUAAACUUUAUUGAAGCAUAUAUGCAUUUUAUAUGGGGAAAUAUAAUACAAAAUGGCGGCUUUUAUACGUCACAAAAGUCACGUGAUGUCUAACUUAGUUGGAUAUG
Molecule: long non-coding RNA, 265 nt
Filed under: Mytilus galloprovincialis (Mediterranean mussel)
Lineage: Eukaryota; Metazoa; Mollusca; Bivalvia; Mytilida; Mytilidae
Source: RNAcentral